CCUAACGGCGUCUUCACUUGGCUUUCAGG
This 29-nucleotide non-coding RNA is filed under the name Homo sapiens (human). The record is from RNAcentral. Lineage: Eukaryota; Metazoa; Chordata; Mammalia; Primates; Hominidae.